AUUUUCUAUCUUCUGCAUUUGCACAAACUCCAUAUACAUUUAUUCACACACACAAGCCACACAAGCAAGAAACUUGGCGUCUCAAGUCGCACAAGCGCAGCAGCUGAUGCGAAUGCUCGCUGACCUUGACCCUCAAUCAGAGCGAGAGAGCGCAGCAGACGACUGACGGCUGAACGCGAUGCGCAGGCGAACAAAAAAAACUUGUUGCCAAGUGCAGCCAAAGAAGACAGAAGACGACGCAGUCAAGUUGAAGUUUUGCAAGUCCCCCCAGCUCCCCUCUUACUUACACACACACACAGAGUGCAGUCGUCGCCAGCUCACACACACACAGAGACAUGCUGGCAAGUUUUCACCAUUAGCAGCGCACGGCGACGACUGUACUUUGGUUGAAGAAACAGCACACACACACACACAAAUGCACACGCAAGUAUGUAUGUAUAUGUGCUGCCUUAUGCCCACGUGUAUGUGUAUCUUGUAGGUAUCGUUGCACAAGGAAGCAAGGCAAAGAAAGCGGCGCACUAAUACAAAUACAAAUACACAGCACAUACCCUAGAAACAAUGGCUGAAUUUUGCUUUAUGUGGCUGACUCAACAACAAGAGCUAGAGCGAGAGAGAGGCAG
Long non-coding RNA from Drosophila grimshawi, 620 nucleotides. RefSeq lists it as uncharacterized. The transcript is spliced from 2 exons. The record is from RefSeq and is a predicted model, not a curated record. NCBI's taxonomy places the organism in Eukaryota, Metazoa, Arthropoda, Insecta, Diptera, Drosophilidae.